Labeo rohita (rohu) is the source of this 767-nucleotide long non-coding RNA. RefSeq lists it as uncharacterized. Lineage: Eukaryota; Metazoa; Chordata; Actinopteri; Cypriniformes; Cyprinidae. The transcript has 3 exons. The record is from RefSeq and is a predicted model, not a curated record.
CACUAAAAUAACUAGAAAACAUAUUAAAGUGAUAAGAUAACGGCUUGAUUUCAGGGAAGAAUCAAAAUUCUCAAAGCUAUCAAAACCACUGAGCUAUUUCAGAAGCUUUUGGCUAUAUCUACAUCUAUGGAGCCUCCUGGAGCCAGGGGAGAACAUUUAGGCAGAGGAUGUUUUUAGACAUGCUGGGGGAUGAUACUGAGUGAUGCUGAGACAGCACAUCCUGAAUCAAUCAACAACAGGAGGACACAGAAAAAAAACAAGACACGGACUUGGAGAAUUCAGAGAGAGACAUGGAAUUUACAUCAUCAGACCUGAAGAUGCAGAAACCUGUGACCCGCCAUCAGAAGUUGUACUGAUUGUUGAGGGAGUGAAAGUUCUGCAGAAUCUUGGUGACGUCACCAAGGCUUGUGCUCUUCCUUUGGCAGUCAUAUACAGCUUGAAUCUCAGUUAUCCAUUAGACCUGAAGCACACUUUUGAGUUUUCCAGAAAGUGUUGCUGGGACUUGAUGCACAGAAACUGUCACGCAAAAAUGCAGGUUCUCAACAACAAACAUGUUGGUGGAAUCAGUACAUCUUAAUUUCUCUUGCAUUUGUCCAAAAUUAAGUUUUUUUGACAUGUGACAUUUAAAUUGUUUUUAGUUUUAAAAUUAGGGUGCAGUUUUAAUGUUAACUUUGUUGAUGGCACCAACAUAUGAAAUUGAGUUCUGCAGCUUUUUGAGGCAUGUUGCCUGUCUUGAGCAAACUGUUGUUUUAUUGUUUGUAAGAACU